CUUGCGCUUCAUCGUCGUAUAUGAAAGUUAGAAUAUGGCUUCCUUAGUGAUAAUUAUAGGAAAAACACUAAUCUAUAACUUUGCCGAACGCAACAUUUCAAUGUUAGUCUUCUGAACUGAAUUAUGGACAAAUGAGUCAAACGAUUGCCAGGUGAUCGAAAACAUCCCUGGCUAGAAUGUCAAAAAAGUCUGCGAAAUUCUUUUGAUAACAAUUCUACCAAAUGACCCAUUUGGCCAGAUGGUGUUCGGCCGAAUGGCACUCAUUACUUGAUGACCCUUUCAAUGAGUAACCGCUGAAUUUCAUUAUAUUGAUCUGCUAUACUUGCAAUGAGUUUAUCUGUUGCUGUGAUAAAAUAUCUAUUUAUUUCCGAAAUAUUCCCACAGGAACGAUAAUAAGCCAGCAGAUCCGACUGGCAAAAGCCACCAGAAAAGAAAAGGUUGCAUCAGCAAGGAUAAUGACGAGGGUGCUGCGCAGAACCGCGGCAUUAGACAGUUUCAGAAUAUGUUUGGCUCAGUCAUCAGGAACAACUAUGCACAUAUGAUGAAUAUGAAAAUGAAAUUGAUGGCCCAGGGUUGCACCAAUCGUCAGCUGCUGGAAGGUAUCGAUAAACGUAUACAGGAACUAGGCAGGGAACUGAUUCUUACCGAAACCAUGUUCGGUGCGCAACCCGAGCGUAAUGCAAGGCAACAAAAACAAGGUGUGCUUCCCUGUGGCUGCAGAUGGUAGGUAAUAUGUUCAGAUAUGUUUAAUGUGCCCUCAUUGAACGCCUUUUCUUAAUUACCCUUUCAAUGAGUAACCACUGAAUUUUAUUGUUUUGUUCUGCUUUAUUUGCAAUAAAGAGUUCGGAUUUUGGAGCAGUA
Long non-coding RNA from Aedes albopictus (Asian tiger mosquito), 861 nucleotides. RefSeq lists it as uncharacterized. The record is from RefSeq and is a predicted model, not a curated record. The transcript is spliced from 2 exons. NCBI's taxonomy places the organism in Eukaryota, Metazoa, Arthropoda, Insecta, Diptera, Culicidae.